This 507-nucleotide ribosomal RNA is filed under the name uncultured bacterium. RNAcentral describes it as "bacterial SSU rRNA". It matches the Rfam family "Bacterial small subunit ribosomal RNA", at positions 35 to 518 of the family's 1533-position model. The record is from RNAcentral.
GGACUCGAAGGACGAACGGCUGGCGGCGUGCCUAACACAUGCAAGUCGAGCGGAGUCAGUAAGAGGAAGUUUCGGAUGGAAUCUUGUUGAUUUAGCGGCGGACGGGUGAGUAACGCGUGAGCGACCAACCUUGCACAGGGGGAUAACGGACCGAAAGGUUCACUAAUACCGCAUGAGACCACGGUGUUGCAUGACACAGGGGUCAAAGGAGCAAUCCGGUGCAAGACGGGCUCGCGUCCGAUUAGGUAGUUGGAGGGGUAACGGCCCACCAAGCCUAUGAUCGGUAGCCGACCUGAGAGGGUGAUCGGUCACAUUGGAACUGAGAUACGGUCCAAACUCCUACGGGAGGCAGCAGUGGGGAAUAUUGGGCAAUGGGGGGAAAAACCCCUGACCCAGCAACGCCGCGUGAAGGAAGAAGGUUUUCGGAUUGUAAACUUCUGUCCUUGGUGAAGAGAAGAAGACGGCAGCCAAGGAGGAAGCCCCGGCUAACUACGUGCCAGCAGCCGC